This is a long non-coding RNA of Andrographis paniculata, 3240 nucleotides long. RefSeq lists it as uncharacterized. Lineage: Eukaryota; Viridiplantae; Streptophyta; Magnoliopsida; Lamiales; Acanthaceae. The record is from RefSeq and is a predicted model, not a curated record. The transcript is spliced from 2 exons.
CCUACAAUUUUCUCUCUCUGUAAAACUUCCUUUGUACGACAUCUUUUCAAACUCUGUAAAUUGAGUGAGUUCGUUAUGCCCAAUAAAAAAACUACACUUCAUUCAUGCAUAACAAGGUACGAUCACUCAAUUUCAUGGAUCAAAUUUGCAUUAAACUACAUGUUUUCGAUCCUAGUAUUUUUCAUGUCGAUCGAAUAGUUUUUUCUCAAACUCUGUGCUCAAUGUGCAUUUGAACUGCCUAUUAUAUUCUUUUGCAAGUUAAACCUAUUAAGGUUUAUUUGUUUUGUCCUAAGAAACUUCAUUCUAUUUGGGAAGGAUUUAGAUUCCCAUACUUAGCUAUUUCUAAAGUUCCUAUAGGAUCCUUGUUAGAAUAUGCGAGAUUCCUUCGCUCUGAGGAAGCCCUAGCCUACUUGGGUUUUGCGCUAUGAAGAGGGAAGCGUUGGUGUCCUAAGAAAUUCAGAACCAAAGCUUUGGACCUAACCCCUCUCUCGCAACCUUACGAUUUUAACACCACCCCUUUAGAAUCUAUUGAUAGUAUUAAGAAUUUCUGUCCCGAUUAUUUUGUAGGGGUUUGCACACCAUAGUUUAAAGCAAUAGAAUAACAAAUCCAAAAGCAACCAGGCUAUUCGCACAAUUUACUAGUUGUGGCGUUUGCAAACAUGCGGAAGGAUGUACAUAAUCUAAGGAGAGCUGUAGCGAUUUAUAAGGAGGAAAGGAAAAAGAAACCACAGAAGAAAUUUGAGGAACUUGACAAAGAAUUUGAAACGAAGGUCGCGAAGUUAGCAGAUCUAGCAGCUGGAAAAAGGUAUUACCACGUCUCGUACGGUUUUAUUAGAACCUUUGCCACCAGCUGCGUUCUACAAAAGAAAACAGUGCUUGCGUGUGACUUAGAAUUGAGCGGCGCUAUAAGGGCUGUCUGCCGACCUUUAUCACGAGGAGCCAAACAAGUUCUCAGAGGACUAUCAUCCUUUGGUGGAAAUUGAACGCAACCAGCUGCCGCUUGUGUAUUGAUGGAUUUCACCUGAUAUUUUGGUUAAGUACAUGGAAGAACAAUUUGACCGCGUGCGAUCCAAGUUUGAGUUACCAGGCGAGUGUGAAUUGGAGUUGGAGGAGCAGAAAAAAAAUAUUUACGGCGAGAUUGAAAUGGAAACUAUGAAGGCUGAAUUAACCAGGGGAGAUGCAGAAAAAGCCGCAAAGCUGGCGAUGGAGGUUAAUGCUUUUGACCCAGCAUGUUUUGUGAAUGUAGCCCCUUUUGCGCAGCACGAACUCCUCAGAUCCAAGAGCCAUAUAAUAGAAAGGGGUUCGACUCAAUUUUUUAACGAAGAGCUAAUCAGCUAGGCAUCAAAGAAAGGAUUGCUGCAACUGCUCGCGAAUCUAGUGGAGUAUAUAAAAUGUGGAGAUUCUCAGAGUUUUACGCCAACCUACAUACCGAGAAAUGAAUUGAUAGUGUCUACGUGCGAGUCAAGAGAAUAGAUGCUAGUCCAAAGGCAAUAACAAACAUUUAUCACUGAGAGAGAUGCUAGACCUCCCAUACAAAAAGUCCCUGGAGUCCUGUGAAUCACUGGAUUCCGCAAUCGAUGAACAAUUAAUGUGACUAUUUUCUGUUUUUGCAAGGAGCUGCACCAUUGAGCCAACAAUAAAUUAUCUUGGAAAAUCAUCAAGGGAGAAUACAAGCCAUUGAUCAAAUGGGCUGCCACCAGGAACUACUGCAUGUCGCAUUUCAUAAAGAUUGGAGCAAAAAACCUAUUCGUGGUGGCGAAACUCAUGCAAUCAACCAGUAACCAUUGUCGAAAUCCCAGUUGAACAAGCACUAGUUGAUCUGCCAACAUCAUCACCCCUGGAAUUCCACCACCGAUGGCUCUUAUCGAUGAACUUCCCACUGAUGCUGAAAAGAAAAACACCAACUUCAGGACAAGCUAUGUAGCUAAGGAAAAAGAAGGCGAAAAAGGCUGAUUUACCACUUGUUCUUCCCUCUCUAUUGCGAAGGCUGAGUAGUAAGGAAAUGGGAGAAAGUUCAGAAACAUAAUCGGAUGAUGAAUUUGCAGUAGUUGAAAAACCAUCGUCGUUGCAGCCCAAGGAAAAAGGAAAGGGAAAGAUGAUAGAAGCCGCCACCCGUAUUUCCGAACUUGUAGCAGUAGCCACCCAACGUAAAAAAAGAAUAGUUAUUCAAGAGCCAUCAUUACAACCCCUCAGUCAGCCAUUCCUAGAGCCUGUUCGUCCAAAGCACCAAUAUUAAUCCUAGGAAUAGGAUGAUAUGUUGACCUUCAAACAACUGGGGAUGGACGACAAGGAUCUCUAGCCACCACCAGCUCAGCAGGAAAUAGUUACCAUUUCACUGCCCAUGCAAACCAUUAGCCAUGACACUUAGGAAGAAACAUCACAAUCACCAUCUGAACAUGGAGAUUCCUUGGAUGAUUUUGUGGUAGAGGCAAGAAGGCUUGAGGAGGAAGCCAAGCGCCAGGAGCAAGAAGCAACACACCUUGCAGAAUUAAGAAAGAAGGAGGAGUUGGAGGCCAAAAAACGAUUGAUUAUGCAAAAGAAGAAGGAGGCCAAAGAAAGGAAAUAAAAAAAAAAGAAAGAGGAAGAGAGAUGCGAGGCCGAGAAGAGAAGAAAAUUUGAAAUUGAGAUGAAGUCCUGAUGAUUGAAGCUCAAAUCGUGGCUACCUUUGAAAUAAUGGAAGAAUUCUUUGCUUGGUGGGAGGAGAAAGAUUGGUUGGCAAGCGCCUAUGAACAAGUCGUGCAAGAUAUUCGCACCAAGGAAGCAUAUCAGCGCGUGCGCGAAGAAGAGGAAGCGGCUGCUACUUACAUUUCUAUGCCCAUCAUCAUUUCGCCAACUGAUGAAACUCAAAAAAUGCAGACAACAUUCCCCUAUUCCUCGCAACUAACUCAAGGAACGGACAUAGAUGUGGAUAUUACUGGCUCGCAACCAAAGACUACAACACAUGCGCUAACCCAUGUGAUGUAUCAUUGUAGGCUCAACUGGAGGGACUCAGAGGCGAGGUCAAUGAUUGAAAGAAUGGUGUGAACACCAGGCUGAGGAUGAUGAAAAUAGACCUCUCCAUGCUAGUCCAAUAUUUCCGGACUUGGCUUGGGUAUCCCCAAUGAUUGAUAGUAAUCCUUAAAUUGAAUUUUCGAAGUACCACACAUGUCUUUUUGUAUGACUAGAUUGAUCUUUUUGACAGUGUAUCUAAUUGUCCUAUCUUAACUGUGUGUCUAUGACUUUAAUCGCAUUUAAUCCUUA